Molecule: long non-coding RNA, 4729 nt
Organism: Anguilla rostrata (American eel)
Lineage: Eukaryota; Metazoa; Chordata; Actinopteri; Anguilliformes; Anguillidae
Exons: 2
Source: RefSeq, a predicted model, not a curated record
CCCCGCCCCCCACCCCCCCAACCUUCGCCCUGCUGGCGAACACCGCUGGAGCACACGGGACAAACAGGUUUUAUGGAGUCGGGAUGCACGUUUGGCGACAUGAAAAAGAAAAAAAAAGACGCUGAAAUAAAAUAAAACAGUUUCAAAAGGGGCUUGGAACCAAACUGCAACAGCGCAACAGAAAUUGAAGGGGGAAGAAUCAUAUCACAGAAUUUUAAAGACUGCUUUUGGAUGUUCCAGAACUUCCGGAAUUCAGCGGAACACUGUGUGUGUGUGGCAGCAAGGGUGUCUCUGGACCUGGGCUGACAUCCUCCCCCCAAUGAACCUUUUUCAGACCGGGUGGGACCACUACAAAAAAAAAAAAAAGCUGAAAAAAAGAACAAAAAAGAAACAGCUGACUGACUCCCCCCAGGGCAGGUCCAGAAGAAGAGGUGCCCUGGAGAGCCGUGAUGACUUAAAAAAAAAAAAAAAAAAAAACUUUUUUUUGGAAAAAAAAAAAAAAAUCUUUACCAUGCAGGGCUCGAACCAACGAAAAUCAAAUGGAGGAGGCAGAUACUUUUUUAAAAAUAACAGUUAUGAACAUUAAAGUGAACUGCAUUUCAGAGGAAAGGAUCUUUUUUUUUUUAAGGGGGUGUGAUAUUUCGGGACACAAACUUAUAGUGAUUCGGUUGGCCAUCUUUACUUGGAGUGCCUGUCCGUUUCCAGGGGAUACAGUUGCCGUGGCAAGCUGUGGCAACAAUCUCUCGGGAGUCUUACCCAUCAUUCCUCAGUUGAUUUAGGGACCAAAUGACCAAACAUUUUUAUCACGUAAAGACUUGUAGCUGUAAGAUACUUGGACCAUCACAUCUCUUUUGCUGUUUGAGCAAGCUUAAGAGUUAUGUUUGAAGGUAAAAAAAAAUGUAAAAUGAUAAUAUAAAUAUAUAUAUAUACAAUAUAUAUACUGUAUAUACAUACAUAUAUAUUGCUGGUAUGCUUUUUAAAAAUGGCAACUCUAUUUCAGAUCUGUGAGAACACUCAUUUCGCUAGUUUACAAUAACUACUCAAUAUCAGAGUAUUUAUUUUUCUCUCUUCUUUUCACCUGAAUCUGAACAAAACCUGAACCUGAUAGUUAAAUGAACAUAAAUAUAUAUGUGUGUACAAAAUAUAUGAACAUGUUUAUAUUUACAGUACAUAUAUAUGUAUAACAUACACAUGCAAAAGUAUUCAUACAUAUCUGCGCAUAUAUAUGAAUACAUAUGUUACUCAAACUUAUAUGUGUUUAUAUGCAUAUAUUUUAUAUAUAUGUGUGUGUAUAUAGAACCGCUAUUGAACCUAAUAUGUAGAACUGUAAUUUUACUGUAGAUUUUAGCUGGUCUCCUACACUGCUCUUGCCAAUCUGCUUUAGACUGAACUGGGUAGAAUAGCGACUACGGCAGCUCCCAAACUGCAAGCAUUCCACUCUCUCUGAAAUAUAUGUGCUCACAUAUAUAUUUACACAUAUAUAUGUGCGUGUGUAUAUUGAUACCUGUACAUAUGUGUAUAUGUUAUUUUGAAACUGCGGCAGGCCAGUUCUCAGAGCAGGCGCGCUUCAAGAACGACAGGCUGUCUGAUCUUCCCUGAAGAAAGGGGGUCGCCAUAGCUCAGGAGGUAAGAGCGGUUGUCUGGCAGUCGGAGGGUUGCCGGUUCGAUCCCCCCGCCCUGGGCGUGUCGAAGUGUCCCUUGAGCAAGACACCUAACCCCUAACCGCUCCGGUGAAUGAGAGGCAUCAAUUGUAAAGCGCUUUGGAUAAAAGCGCUAUAUAAAUGCAGUCCAUUUACUGGGGGGGGGCUGCUGUCGUAAAACAACGAUCUUCCCGAUCUUCCCUGCCAGACGCCGAGCGAAGAAUCAGCCAUCUGUUAAACUUGAACCCGAAGUCGACAUAUCAUAGCCGCUAUUAAUCUGUCCGAGAGGGGCGGCCCCCUCCCGCUUCGGCAGGUGCCCCGCCCGCGUCACCCGACGCACCCGUCCCGGCGGCAUCCUUCAGUCACGGGCGGCCCCGUUUCCUAUUUACGCCCAAAACCCCACUUUCGAGUCUAGUUUAACCCAGAAGUAUCGCUAAUUUAGCCACCCGCUAUUGCUAAUUGCAAAUGUAAAAAAAAAAAAAAAAAAAAAAAAAUUAAAUUUAUUAAAAAUAAAAGAAAAAAAAAGCACUGCGUUUUCGUAGCGGACGGCGGACGCCGAAGAAGAUGCAGGGGGCAGUGUGUCGGAGCAAGCGGUGGCGACUUGCCACCGCGUACGCGGUCACGCGAUCGGAGAGCACGCCGGUGAAAGCAGCGUGUCCGUCCCAUCUGGUUCAUCUGGAGGUGGAGUCCUGCGCGUCCCCCGCCGGUCAACCUGCUGCGUACGUCCGACUACGUCCGGCGGAAAACGUUUUGUCUCGCGACGCGAGCUGUCUGAGCUGGCCAAUGAAACGGUGCAGAUUAGGGUAGUUCUCUUAAGCCCUCAUUUUCAGCAGUUCAGCCUCCUAAAGCAACCGUUUAAAAAACUGGCGGUGGGAGGGGUGGAGGUGGAUGAACCAAAAGCUGCAGGCAUUACAGAUGCAAAAGAGUUUUAUGCUACGGGAAGACGAACCAAAAUAUCCAGAUGGCGAUGGAAACGUGCGGCAUCUCUGUACUUGUGUGUUCGGUUUCCCCUGAACUUUGUUUUCGCGUAGACCUAUCCUAAAACCAGAAAGGCGGAGUCUCUGGCUGUCACAGACCCCGCCCCCCCCGCUUGUACAUCCAAUCCUGAGACAGACAGACCUAUCAGAUGUCUAACUCCUCCCCUUUGCCAUUACGGUCCAUCAGCUCAGCUGCAACUGUUUACAUAAAACAAUUCAACAGAACAAAGUGUUUAAAAAAAAAAAAAAAAGAUUGAGAGACAGAGCAGAGCUUUUAAUAUAUAUAAAUCAAUGAAUAUAUGUAAAUGUUUCUUUUUUGUUGCUCUGUUUUUCUCUGUAAAUAGGUUUGCAUAUUUUAUAGGACUUUUACUUCUACCUACAAGGACUUGGUAAAGAGCAAACUUUAAAUACUUAUAAAAGACAAAGGGAAAAGAGUAAUAAAAAAAACAGGUAACAAGGAGUUGUAGGGGUCUAUGGCAUGAGUGGAGGGUGUGCAAAUCCAGGUUUUUAACAAGAGAACUGUCAGGGAGUGCAUUGAAUUCAAUAUAAAGAAAUUUAGAUUAGCAUUUAUUUUCACAUUUAUCUAAAUACACAUUAUUUAUUUAUUUAUUUAUUUAUUUAUUUAUUUAUUUAAUUUAUUUAUUUUAUUUAUUUAUUUCCUGGCAUUUUUCUACCAAACUGCCAAUGAUUCCUACCUGUUGUGUUAUUUAUUAUAUUUGCUGAAAAGUUUGUGCUGAGGGUCAUGUUUCUGUGAGCACAUGGGGUUUUUUUAAAUUAUUUAUUUGCGACGGACACGAGAGGAAUGCUCUCCGUAGCAGCGAGUCCUCAUUCCUGAAGCCAGGCUUCAGCUUCGUUUCUGAACCCCACAUUUACCCAAGCAAACGCUGAAUAAAACACUACCGUAUCGACUAAGUCCUGCAAGGAGAAUAUUACAUCACUGGAAUGGACAACAGUAAAAAAAAAGAAAACAAUAAAAAAUACAUUUUAUAAAACUAAAAAGAUCAGUGAUGUUCACGUCCAAUCAUAUGAAUGUAUGUAUUGCAUUCAAGUAAUUCUGCACUUGUUUCAGCUUUCCAGGCUGAACUCUACCUGGAUCUGCCCAAUACUUCUUCUCUUGAGGCUUCUUAACCAACCAGAGACAAAUGGACGUCUCUGGCUGGUUUUGACCAACAAAAGCCUGUCAGAAAAUCCAUAAGUUCUCCAUCGACCACUCUCUGAUCAUUUUAAGACAUACAGAAAACCAUUUCUUCAAAACUUCCAGGGUAGUAGUUUGUACAUGCUGGCAACAGCACUUUUUUGGAAACCGAGUGAAAAGCUAGACUCACUCUUCCAGUAGUAGUUUUAACUUCUUUUUUUUCUGUUGCCUUGUCUUUUUCCACCCAAUUGCUAAAAGAAAAACACACCUUUCCUCAACAGAAGUUUAGAUCUCCCUGCUGAAACGAACAUUUGUGGCAGGUAAAACGCACUCCUGGUUUCGAUCCGGGUUUGAAAGAAAAAGUCUGCCAUGAUCAUUGGUCCACAUAGCGACUCAACACAUAUCAAAAAUCUGCAGCUUUACUUUACCAUUAAAAGGGGGUUCACAAGGCUGACAGUGGAGGUCAAUCUACCUGCCUCUCAGCUCCUAAACUCUAAGCUCACAGAACAUAUCCCAGCAUGCUCUUGGUGCCAACUAGUACUGUGUACAUUUCAUGAAUGCAACUCAUUUUCAUUUCCUGCUCUCGAUUGGGGUUAUCCUUUGGCGAUCCUCUUGACCCAUCCUUUCGGUCAGAGCACAAGACAGGCUUGACCCUCAUUCUCUGAGGUGAUCCGCAGUUUGGAGUCAUCUACAGCAGGACUCUCUCUCUCAAAACCGCACUCCCACUAGAAACUGCACUAAAUCCAAACCCGUGGAAAUAUCAGCAAAACACAUCGACAACAAUUUGUGAGGCUUGUUGGGAACUUGACCUUAGAGAACUUACCCCCCACCACACCCCACUUAAACCCCACUUUGGGGUCCGAACUGCUCGUUGCUGCAGCCUACUGCUAUUCCCUUGACUAUACCCUUGAGUUCCUUGUCUUAUCACUUGCUGAUCUGAUGAUGAAGUCAUGUGUAUACAGUUUCACCACUGGGGG